UCAAGCGAAUAUAGGUGUAUGGUGGAUGCCUAGGAGCUGCGAGGCGAAGAAGGCCGUGAUAAGCUGCGAUAAGCCAGGGGGAGGAGCACAUAUCCUGUGAGCCCUGGAUAGCCGAAUGGGGUAACCCGACGGAAGCGAUUCCGUCAUCCGAUAUCUGAAUAAAAUAGGGUACGGAAGCCACACUGGGUGAACUGAACCAUCUAAGUAACCCGGGAAAAGAAAUCAAAAGAGAUUCCGAAAGUAGCGGCGAGCGAAAUCGGAAGAGCCCAAACCAGUUUAACUGGGGUUGUAGGGCCGCAUGGGCGAAGACGCAAGUCUACAGCCGCAGAGUGAUAAAUCUUCAUUAUAGCGGAACGGUUUUGGGAAAGCCGGUCAAAGAGGGUGAAAGCCCCGUACGCGAAAUGAUGGAGACUCUGUGAUGCGGUACCUGAGUACGGCGGGACACGAGAAAUCCUGUUGGAAUCCGGGUCGACCACGAUCCAAGGCUAAAUACUCCGCAGCUACCGAUAGUGCAGCAGUACCGUGAGGGAAAGGCGAAAAGAACCCCGGUGAGGGGAGUGAAAUAGAACCUGAAACCAUACACUAACAAGAUGUUACGGCACGAGUGCUUGUCACCGUGUUGUAGCGUGCCUUUUGUAGAAUGAGCCUGCGAGUUACGGUAUGUAGCGAGGUUAAGUGAUGGAAGUCACGGAGCCGUAGGGAAACCGAGUCUGAAAAGGGCGUGCGAUCUUACGAUCGCUUAUAGUUACAUGUCGUAGACCCGAAGCCAAGGUGAUCUAGUUACGAGCAGGUUGAAGCUCGGGUAAUACCGAGUGGAGGACCGAACUCUAAUCUGUUAAAAAAGGUAGGGAUGACUCGUGAUUAGGAGUGAAAGGCUAAACAAACCUGGAAAUAGCUGGCUCUCCCCGAAAUGCCUUUAGGGACAGCCUCAUACAAAACUUUCGGAGGUAAAGCACUGGAUGGACUAGGGCCCUUCACCGGGUACCAAACCCAAUCAAACUCUGAAUGCCGAAAGUCAACGUAUGGGAGUGAGACUGCGUGCGCUAAGGUUCGUAGUCAAGAGGGAAACAGCCCAGACCGUCAGCUAAGGUCCCGAAAUACCGCUCAGUGUAAAAUGAGGUGUGAAUACACAGACAGCCAGGAGGUUGGCUUAGAAGCAGCCAUUCCUUUAAAGAGUGCGUAAUAGCUCACUGGUCGAGUGUUCAUGCGCAGAUAAUGUAACGGGGCUAAGCGGUAUACCGAAGCUACGGAUCUACACUUUUAGUGUAGGUGGUAGGGGAGCAUUCCAUGGACUGAUGAAGGAAGACCUGUGAGGGCUUCUGGAGGGGAUGGAAGAGAGAAUGCAGGUAUAAGUACACGAAAAGAGGGGUGAGAUUCCCCUCCGCCGAAAACCUAAGGUUUCCUGGGUAAAGGUCAUCUGCCCAGGGUAAGUCGGCCCCUAAGGCGAGGACGAAAGUCGUAGUCGAUGGGAAUCCGGUUCAUAUUCCGGAACCUUUUAUAAUUUCGAAGGCAGGACGCAUGAGGUGAAAUCCGGCCGGGCGAUGGUUGUCCCGGUCUAAGCAACAAGCCGUUGACGGUGGCAGGCAAAUCCACCACCGGAGGUAAGUUGUUACAGCGAGUGGAGCUACGGCGAAGCGAAGCGGACGUAAUCACGGUGCCGGGAAAUACUGUCUAAGGCUAGGUUAUAGAAGACCGUACCGUAAUCCGACACAGGUAGGUGGGAUGAGAAAUCUAAGGCGCUCGAGAGAACUCGCGUUAAGGAACUCGGCAAAAUGCACACGUAACUUCGGAAGAAGUGUGGCCCCUGUUUGGUUAAAGAGUGGGGGUGGCACAGAGCAGGCCCAGGCGACUGUUUAUCAAAAACACAGCCAUCUGCGAAUCAGCAAUGAGACGUAUAGGUGGUGACACCUGCCCGGUGCUGGAAGGUUAAGAGGAGCGGUUCGAGGUAACUCAAAGCUGUGAAUCGAAGCCCCAGUAAACGGCGGCCGUAACUAUAACGGUCCUAAGGUAGCGAAAUUCCUUGUCGGGUAAGUUCCGACCCGCACGAAUGGUGUAACGAUUCUGGGCACUGUCUCAACGCGAGACUCGGUGAAAUUUAUAUACCGGUAAAGAAGCCGGUUACCCACAGUUAGACGGAAAGACCCCGUGAACCUUCACCGUAACUUAUUAUUGGAUCUUGGUGUAGCAUGUGUAGCAUAGGUGGGAGACUACGAGACGUGGCCGUUAGGUUGCGUGGAGUCGACCAGUGAAAUACCACCCUUGCUACAUCAGGUUUCUAACCUAAUCCGUGAAUCCGGGUUGGGGACAAUGAUAGGUGGGCGGUUUGACUGGGGCGGUCGCCUCCUAAAGAGUAACGGAGGUGCGCGAAGGUCUCCUCGCGCUGGUUGGAAAUCAGCGUACGAGUGUAAAGGCACAAGGAGGCUUGACUGCGAGACUGACAGGUCGAGCAGGUACGAAAGUAGGUCUUAGUGAUCUGGCGGUAGCGAGUGGAAGCGCCGUCACUUAACGGACAAAAGGUACUCCGGGGAUAACAGGCUGAUUUUCCCCAAGAGUUCACAUCGACGGGAAAGUUUGGCACCUCGAUGUCGGCUCAUCGCAUCCUGGGGCUGAAGCAGGUCCCAAGGGUUUGGCUGUUCGCCAAUUAAAGCGGUACGUGAGCUGGGUUCAGAACGUCGCGAGACAGUUCGGUCCCUAUCUGCUGUGGGCGUUGGAUGAUUGAGAGGAGCUGCAUUUAGUACGAGAGGACCGAUGUGGACGAACCUCUGGUGUACCUGUUGUUCUGCCAAGAGCAAGUGCAGGGUAGCUAAGUUCGGAAGGGAUAACCGCUGAAGGCAUCUAAGUGGGAAGCCCACCUCAAGAUAAAUCAUCCCUGGGGGUUCGACCCCCCUAAAGACUCCAGAGAGACUAUCUGGUUGAUAGGCUGCAGGUCUACGCACGGUAACGUGUUCAGCCGAGCAGUACUAAUAGGUCGUGAGGCUUGACCAU
Molecule: ribosomal RNA, 2985 nt
Filed under: bioreactor metagenome
Description: bacterial LSU rRNA
Rfam family: Bacterial large subunit ribosomal RNA
Source: RNAcentral